This is a non-coding RNA of Characodon lateralis, 78 nucleotides long. The record is from the annotation of a GenBank genome assembly. Lineage: Eukaryota; Metazoa; Chordata; Actinopteri; Cyprinodontiformes; Goodeidae.
GGCAACUAUGGCUCUGUGGGAAGAGUAGCUGUCUCGCAAUCUGACAGUUGUUGGUUCAAUUCCAACUGCCAUAUGUCG